CCUCGCGGCGUCGCGGCGCGCCGUCUCCCCCUCGUCACGCGAGCGCGAGCUUCGUGGCGUCGGGUUUCCACACGAUGCAUCACCUGAAUGACUGAGUCCCGAAUAGACUUGGAUGGAGGAGUGGGUGCGUUUCGUGCCCUCGAGCGAGCUCGGGGUGCGCGGCGCGCGCCGGUUACCUUACGACGAGUUGAAACUUAACAAAGAACAACUCUCAGCAACGGAUAUCUUGGCUCUUGCAACGAUGAAGAACGCAGCGAAAUGCGAUACGUAGUGUGAAUUGCAGAAUUCCGCGAAUCAUCGAGUCUUUGAACGCAAGUUGCGCCCGAGGCUUGUCCGAGGGCAUUUCCGCUAGAGCGUCACCGCGCCCCCCACCGAUCCGCUCCCGCCGCGAGGCGCGACGCGUGUCGAGUGGAAGUGGCCGUCCCUGCGAAGCGGCCUUCUUUCACGAGGAGUCCGCACUUGGCUAAGGGUCGGCUGAAAUGGAUGGAAUCGGGCCGCCGUGGUGACACAGUCCGCGAUCGGGUGAUUUCGUCGCGAGCCUCCUCCGUGAGGCUCUCGUUGAAUUUUUCUAAGUGCUUGGCUGCGUCCCCCAGUUGGCUCGGGUUACCUCAUGCAGGUCGAGCGCGCCCCCGCGGCGCGCGUCACGCAUCAGAC
This 654-nucleotide small RNA is filed under the name Bryhnia hultenii. Its description in RNAcentral is "eukaryotic LSU rRNA". The stretch from base 207 to 359 matches the Rfam family "5.8S ribosomal RNA". Lineage: Eukaryota; Viridiplantae; Streptophyta; Bryopsida; Hypnales; Brachytheciaceae. The record is from RNAcentral.